Molecule: ribosomal RNA, 440 nt
Filed under: uncultured bacterium
Lineage: Bacteria
Description: partial 16S ribosomal RNA
Rfam family: Bacterial small subunit ribosomal RNA
Source: RNAcentral
CCUACGGGUGGCAGCAGUGGGGAAUAUUGCUCAAUGGGGGAAACCCUGAUGCAGCGAAGCCGCGUGAGUGAAGAAGUACUUCGGUAUGUAAAGCCUUAUCUGCCGGGGAGAAAAUGACGGUACCUGAGUAAGAAGCCCCGGGUAACUACGUGCCAGCAGCCGCGGUAAUCCGUAGGGGGCAAGCGUUAACCGGAUGUAAUGGGGGGAAAGGGAGCGUAGAUGGCAGUGCAAGUCUGGAGUGAAAGGCGGGGGCUCAACCCCCGGACUGCUCUGGAAACUGGACGGCUGGAGUGCAGGAGAGGUAAGUGGAAUUCCUGGUGUAGCGGUGAAAUGCGUAGAUAUUAGGAGGAACACCAGUGGCGAAGGCGGCUUACUGGACUGUAACUGACGUUGAGGCUCGAAAGCGUGGGGAGCAAACAGGAUUAGAUACCCGUGUAGUC